GAUGAACGCUGGCGGCAUGCCUAAGACAUGCAAGUCGUACGAGGAGGCCCAUUGAAGAUGAUGUGCUUGCACUGAUUUGGAUUUGGAUUCCCUCCUAGUGGCAAACGGGUGAGUAACACGUGGGUUACCUACCUCUAAGUUGGGGAUACCAGUUGGAAACGACUGUUAAUACCGAAUGUGCUCUACGGAGUAAAGAAGCCCUUAAAGCUUCGCUUGGAGAUGGGCCUGCGGCGCAUUAGCUAGUUGGUGAGGUAAUGGCUUACCAAGGCGACGAUGCGUAGCCGAACUGAGAGGUUGAUCGGCCACAUUGGGACUGAGACACGGCCCAG
This 329-nucleotide ribosomal RNA is filed under the name uncultured bacterium. Its description in RNAcentral is "bacterial SSU rRNA". It matches the Rfam family "Bacterial small subunit ribosomal RNA", at positions 28 to 334 of the family's 1533-position model. The record is from RNAcentral.